RNAcentral lists this ribosomal RNA (207 nucleotides) under uncultured Staphylococcus sp. Its description in RNAcentral is "partial 16S ribosomal RNA". It matches the Rfam family "Bacterial small subunit ribosomal RNA", at positions 568 to 774 of the family's 1533-position model. The record is from RNAcentral. Lineage: Bacteria; Bacillati; Bacillota; Bacilli; Caryophanales; Staphylococcaceae.
CGCGCAGGCGGUUUUUUAAGUCUGAUGUGAAAGCCCACGGCUCAACCGUGGAGGGUCAUUGGAAACUGGAAAACUUGAGUGCAGAAGAGGAAAGUGGAAUUCCAUGUGUAGCGGUGAAAUGCGCAGAGAUAUGGAGGAACACCAGUGGCGAAGGCGACUUUCUGGUCUGUAACUGACGCUGAUGUGCGAAAGCGUGGGGAUCAAACA